CUACGGGCCGCUCCAGUGGGGAAUAUUGGACAAUGGGGGAAACCCUGAUCCAGUAAUGCCGCGUGUGUGAAGAAGGCCUGCGGGUUGUAAAGCACUUUCGGUUGGGAGGACUGCUUCUAGCACUAAUAUUGUUGGAAGUUGACGUUACCUUCAGAAGAAGCACCGGCUAACUCCGUGCCAGCAGCCGCGGUAAUACGGAGGGUGCAAGCGUUAAUCGGAAUUACUGGGCGUAAAGCGCGCGUAGGCGGCUAGAUCAGUCGGGUGUGAAAGCCCCGGGCUUAACCUGGGAACUGCAUCCGAUACUGUCUAGCUUGAGUACAGGAGAGGAGAGUGGAAUUCCACAUGUAGCGGUGAAAUGCGUAGAUAUGUGGAGGAACACCAAUGGCGAAGGCAGCUCUCUGGCCUGAUACUGACGCUGAGGUGCGAAAGCGUGGGGAGCAAAUAGGAUUAGAUACCCCAGUAGUC
RNAcentral lists this ribosomal RNA (465 nucleotides) under uncultured bacterium. RNAcentral's name for it is "partial 16S ribosomal RNA". It matches the Rfam family "Bacterial small subunit ribosomal RNA", at positions 339 to 795 of the family's 1533-position model. The record is from RNAcentral.